Molecule: unclassified non-coding RNA, 382 nt
Filed under: Hevea brasiliensis (rubber tree)
Lineage: Eukaryota; Viridiplantae; Streptophyta; Magnoliopsida; Malpighiales; Euphorbiaceae
Source: RNAcentral
UGUAGUUGUAGUUCAGUCACUGUAAGCUUUAAGACCUUCAUAGCAUAUGUACAAUGUCGUUCACUCAGCUGAGUGUUUGGAGUUUCUUUCAUUGCAUCUAUCCUCUGCCUAGAUAAUCACCUAGAAGGAAAGAAAAGAAUGUUUGGAAUUUUACUUCAAUUGGUGUAUGCUAAUUAUGUUGAUGAAAUGUAUAUGCAAUGGCAAAUAAGCACUUAUUUCAACAAUUUUAUGGUCCUUGUUUCUGUAAUUAUCUAUAUGCACAUAUGCAAACCGUAUGUUGUCUCUUGACCCCUAGUUGCUAGCAUUUCUCAUCAGGAUCUUACUCUCAGCUACUCUUUCCAUGACAUUUAUCAGGUCUCCUUCAACAUCUCGAAUCCGAGCC